CUAUGUGUUGUUUGUAAUAAUUUACAAAAUUUAAUUAUAUUUACUCUGCUACAAUAACAGUUAUCUAAAAACAGUUUUCUUGAGUCGUCUAGGGAUUUACAAUUCAAAAGAAAGUGAAAUUCAUCACCUAAUUCUUGACAUUGACAUAAAUUACAAUAUCUCAUUUCUCUAUCUAAACCUAUCCAUCUUCCAGUUUCAAUUGGUAAUCUAUGAUUCCCAGUCCUAAAUCUACAAAAUGUAAC
RNAcentral lists this long non-coding RNA (242 nucleotides) under Mytilus galloprovincialis (Mediterranean mussel). Lineage: Eukaryota; Metazoa; Mollusca; Bivalvia; Mytilida; Mytilidae. The record is from RNAcentral.